This is a long non-coding RNA of Ochotona curzoniae (black-lipped pika), 1297 nucleotides long. RefSeq lists it as uncharacterized. The record is from RefSeq and is a predicted model, not a curated record. NCBI's taxonomy places the organism in Eukaryota, Metazoa, Chordata, Mammalia, Lagomorpha, Ochotonidae. The transcript is spliced from 2 exons.
UAAAGGAUGAAUCUGUCACCACUGUCUUCUAAUUCCUUGCUAGCUGUUCUUACCCAUGCACCUAACCCAUUUCUUCUCCUGUUUAUCAAACGUGCUUUGAUUCUUUUCACCUGUGAUACCAUCACGUUAGUUUCUGACUUUGAUCACUGCGUUGCAUCUUUGUGGCUAGGCCUUUGCAUGUGAAUAUCUGAGUGUGGAUAUAUGUGCUUAGCUUAGUGUACAGAUCUCUGAGUAUCAAAUUUAUGAGUUCAUUAUUCAGAUUUUCAGUAUUCAAGAGAGACAUUAACUUACAUUAAUUAAGGUUUUACCAUUAGUAAGCCCACUGGCAGCCCUCAAUUAAAUGUACUCAUUCUUGUACAGGUGAAUUGCAUCUAGUAUGUCCUAGGUACUGUUUCAGGCAUUGUAAGUAUAGUGGUAUGGAAGAGUGAGGUCCCUGUGCUCAUAGUGUUUACAUUGUGAUGGUGGGUGAUUGACAGUGGGAAAAAAAAGUACAUAGUCAUGAUAAUUUCACAUAGGGAAAUGUCUUGCAAACAAAAUAAGAUAGGGUGAUGUUUGAGCUGAGAGCUGAAUUUGAUGGAAGAGCCAGUCACAGAAAGCUCUAGAAGCAGAGGAACAACUGUGGUAAAAGGUCAAAAGUGAAGAGUGAAGCUGGAAUUUGUCCUUGAGGAACAGAGGGAAGGUUAGUGUGGCAGGCACAUAGUAGGAAAGGGCAAAUGUAGUAUAAGAUAAGGCUGGGCAGGGAUAGUUCACGUAAGAGCUGAGAUUCUGUGUUAUGUAAGAAGUCAUUGGAGCGUUUUAAGCAGGGGAAUUACUUUAUUGUAAGAAGCAUUACUUGCUAGAACUGUGUUAGAAUUCAGCAAGAACUGAGUAAAGAGGAUGAAGAAAAUUGCAGAUUUUCAUUCUAAAAGGGCCAUGUCAGUAUUUCCUGUUUGACUUUAAACUCCUAAUUUAACGUUUUGAAGGGUAAAAACCUCAUAGAAGUGUUUAAAAUUUAGAGAUUUUUGUUACAAUAAAUUGAAAUUGAUUUAAAAUAAAACCAUAAAAGCACGUGGGUAGAUAAUAAUAAACUUUUAAUUUUCAUGUUUUAUUUCUUAGGCGCCCAGUCAAUACUUGUUCGUUCAUUAAUAUUUAUUGAGCACCAACUGCGUGCAAGCACGCUUCCUGGGCUGUUACAGUCAAUGGACUUGUCAACACUGAAAUGUUACCUUCCUGGCCAACCAGAAAAAUUUUCUGCAUUUUUGGAUAAAGUUGUUGGAUUACAAAAAUGAACACUAAAUUCUCAGUCCUUUAAAAACAC